Molecule: long non-coding RNA, 8203 nt
Filed under: Fragaria vesca (wild strawberry)
Lineage: Eukaryota; Viridiplantae; Streptophyta; Magnoliopsida; Rosales; Rosaceae
Description: long non-coding RNA (FVES_LNC000629)
Source: RNAcentral
GGCUAUAACAUUAGCUCAACUAAACCAUUUUACAUAUAGUAGGGGAAAGAACCUAUUCUUGUUCACCAUUAGAGUUUUCUCAAGGUCACGCGAUGCUUAUCAUUUCAUUUGUUUUGUUAAUCAUUUCAUCUACAUUACUAGAGAUAUGCUAAAACAAAAGCAUCAAGUUGAGCUUAGUCUUUUCUUGAAGGUAUCAUAUGGUUCCAUCCCAUUUCUGACGAUAGAUUACCCAUAAAACAAUACUUGCGCCCACUUUGAAGCCUCACACCCUAAAAUCACAUUCACAUUCACAUAGCGAAUGUGACAAAGGAUUGGUUGCCAUCACAUGCUCGAACGUGUUGCCGGUGGUCGACGAUUUGGUGGUGAUUCAGAUUGAUGCUGUGGAAUCGGUGUCCACAACACUGGGAGAGCAAAGGUGGUUAUAGGCACGGCAGCGGAGCUGGCAGGUCUCGAAGCAAGGGCUGAGGUUGUCACGAUGGUGUCAGCCUUGGCGACUGUGUCGACAGCCUAGGAGAGCCCCCCGACAAAGGUAGGAAACCCUAACUCAAAUCUAGGGGUUUAGACCGAAUCAGGUUGUGGUAGUGUGUUAGGCCUAGGGACUUUUAAUGGGCUGAGAAACUGUCACACCCCAAUUUUCAAAAUGAAAUUUUCAAAAAUUUUGGCAUAAUAUCCCUUAAAAUAAUAUAAUCCCAAAAUUUGUUUCAACAAAAUUUCAAUGAAACUAAACUCAAUGCGGAAAGUAAAAUUUACACACAACUCCAUAUUGAGUUAAAUAUUACAUUUCCUUGUUUACAUAAACUCGAGAGUCAAGAAAAUGAGACGCUCACAUGAGUUUAAUAUUGUUUAUCCCAAUGUAUAUAUAAAAAUAAAUAUAUACAAUGAACAACCAAAACCCAACAAAAAACCCUGCCACUAAGCCUCCACCUCAACCCUGCUGAUCCUCACCUGCAGGGCUAACCCCUACACCAAGAAUUGGUGUACCGGGUUGUAAACAACAAACUCGGUAAGAUAAAAAGCUCGUAUGAGUAAACUCAAAAAUAACACAACAUUUAUCACAUCCAAUAUUUCACAAGAGAGAUUGGAUCCAUAAUUAAAGAAAAACACACAUCCAACACAUUACCCAAGAAAAGUACCCAUGAGUCCCAGAUACUUAAUAAAAUACCCCUCAUGACCUACAACAACACUAUGUGUACCCAUGGGUCCCAGAUACCAUACAGUAUCUCCUAUGACCUACACUGACAGACGGACUAGAGCUCUAUUCCUAACCGUAACCAAUCACCCAGCCAAAGGCUUGGAACCCGGUUUGACUGUCUAAUAUCAAACACAAAAAUAAUAAAUAGCAACUUAACCGCAACCAAUCACCCAAUUAAGGACUUGGAACCCGGUUUGGCUAUUUAUCAAAAAAUCAGAAUAUCACAACAUUAACCUCAACAACACAAUAUCACAUCAUUAUUCUCAACCACACAAUAUCACAUCAUUAAUUCUAUCCUUUCACAUGGAAAUAUUUACCUGAACAAAAUAUAGAUAUUCCACAAGAAUAAUCUAUAAAUAAUCAAUAAACUCAUGAUCACAUGAAUCUCAAAAUAGCACAUAAAGAAAAUUUGUUUUACCUUACCUUUGAGCCGUUGGCGAUCAAGCUCAUAUAUUUUUAAAAACAAUUAAAAGCAUAAUAUUAAAUCCAACAUCAUCAUCAUUAUCAUCAUCACAUGACCAUAAUUAAAUUUGGUUCAAAAGUGAACCUUGGUAAGAUUUACUCACCUAGAAAUCCUGCUGCAAAACCCCCAACACAACGAAGGCAAGCCAAUCACAAAAUCACAAAUCACCUAAAAUCACACAAUUAAAAACCUUAGAAACCAAGGUAUUAAAGGAUAACACAUUACCCUUAAACUAACCCUUAGCUCAAGGGAUGACAACUUCCCAAAGUCGUUGAACUCAACGACACAAUAGAGCUGCCUCAACUCUUCAAAACCUAAACUCUAACCCAACCAAACCAACACCAAUAAACUUAAGUCCUAGCAUGCCAACAUUUCUUAAAAACUAGCCACACUACCACUCAACAAACUCACAGCAGUAAGGAUUACCUAACCACAGGAAACUAGGGCAGCAACUCAGCCGGACGCGCUGCCACGCGCCGCCACAGGCGAUGACGAGUGGGCCCCACGCGCCACCCUAAACUUCCAAAUUUGAAAAAACUCCCAACAGCAAAGUUGAAGCUUGAAGCAAGGGGAACAACUUUCAUACCUGAGACUUCGACCAAUUUUGGCCGGAACCGGCGGGAAACCGUCCCAAACCGUGACCAGAAAAUCAAUUCCAAAACCUGCAAAAUCGGCCUCAAAACCUCAAAAACUUGCUUCAAUCUAUGCCUAGACACUACUAGGAGGAAGAGGGGAUCAAGACUCACCUAAGGACGCCCUUCGUCGCCGCCGUAUACGGCGGUUCCGACCGGUGGCACAGCGGCCUUUUUUCCGGCAACACAGCUCCGGUUCCGGCGUGCCACACCGAGCAGCAGCUGCCCAGCCUUGAAGAGAGCACUUGUGGGAGUCGAACGGGACCGGUGGCGUCCGGUUUGGUGGCCGGAUGAGGGAGAACUCGGCCGGAGAAAGUGAGAGUUCGGGGGGAGCUCGGGAGAGGAAGAGAGAGAAGAGAGAGAAGAGAGAGAAGAGAGAAAAUAGAGGGAAGAGAGAAAACAGAGGCUGACUUUGUUUUUAGGGUUCCCAAAAACAUCCCACACACAUUUUUCUACUUAUACUCUUUUCAAAACCCGGAAACAAACUUCCUCUGAACAUAACUUCUUCAUACGACAUCCGUUUCAGGCGUGCCGGAUGUCUACGAACUCGUAUCGACAAACUCUACAACUUUCAUGAAGGAAGUUUUCGAAGAUAACUUAUGAAACAUAAAGUCAACUUUUGGCCUCUCAAAAGUCAAAGCACUUUAAAUAAACUCCCGAAACUUCAACUUCACAUAACCCCAAGAAUUUCCAUAAAUAAUCCUUUAUUAAAAAAAGGGAAUAAUAUAAAGAAAAUUGAUAUGAAAAUCUAGGAUAUUACAGAAACACUUUUGGGCUUAAGUUGGUGGGUGGGAAUAAUUCUGGGUUGUUUGGGACUUAUGAGGUUGUUGGGCCUAGCCUUUUGGAUCCAAUUGCAUCUCCUAAAUGUGGGGGAGCUUGUCGGAAACACGACAUUGAGGAUAGAGAGUUUGAAAGAGGUCCAAACCUAGCUUGGAAUUGGUGCCAAUGGUUUCAAUAAUGAACACUAGUGGAGGUCCCAAUCACAGAUAGGAAGGUGCCUACGAAGAGGGGACGUCCUCUUGGGUAUCUGAAAAGCUAAAGCUGGUAAAAGAGGUUUAGGAGGUUUCCCUACCCGGGGAUGGUGAAGCCGGUGGGGAGUAGUCCCAUUUUUAGAAUGGCACGAAUCCGUACAUCAUCAAGUUGAAGAGUUUACCCACCCACCCACCCACCCACCCACCCCCCACUUUUUGUUGGAAGUGUGUAUCGAAAUGAUCUUUAGGCUUCCAUUCAUUAAGCUGGGGUACUUUAAAUUGGGGAUGUCAGUUAUUUUCUUUCUUGAUUCGAUUAAGUUCACACUACCAGAAGAAAGACUUUAGCAGACGAAAAAAAAAACCAGGCUGACGAAUCAAUUUUUCGUCGGCUAAUUUAUAUUUUCGUCGGCUAUAGUUAACUUUAGCCGACGAAAUUUCGUCGGUUAAAUAAUUUAUUUCGUCGGCUAAAGUCUGUGACUUUAGCCAACGACUUUAAACAUUAUUUCGUCGGCAAAAGUUCACUAUAGCUGACGAAAAUAAAUUUCGUCGGCUAAAGUUCUUUAUAUUCGCAGAUCUGGACAGUAGCUCAUCUGAGAAGAAAAACGGGAGAAAAAGUUUGGGUGUUGUUAAAAUCUGUCCAUAAUUAAGAAGUGGAGCUAUAUAUAGGUACGUACAUGUGUAUAUAUGUUGAUUUUGAGUUUUAUUUGAGUUGAUCGAUUUUGAGUGUGAUUGAAUUGAUAGAUUUUGAGUACGUUGGAUGUAUAUAUAUAUAUAUAUAUAUGUGUGUGUGUGUUGAUCGAUUUGGUUGAUGAUUUGAUAAUAUGUAUAAAGUUGUUGUCAAUAAGUAGUAGAUAUAUAUAUAUAUAUAUAUAUAUAUAUAUGUUUAUAUAUGUUAAUUAAUUUAUAAUAUUGUGUUGAUGGUAUGAAGUUGUUGAUGAUGAUUUUGUGAUGAUGUUGAUAUAUAUAAUAUUGUUAUGUAAUUAUUAAUUAAGUAUAUCUAUAUAUAUAUGUGUUAAUUAAUUUGUUAUCAAUUAGUUGUAGUAUGUAAAAUAUAUAUAAAUGAAUUGAAAUUUUAUAUAUGGCAUAGAAUUUAAUUAAUAAUUAGCUAGCGUUAUACAUAUAUAUUUUGUUAUAUUUUCAUGAUAUAGAUAAGAGUUGGAUUUUGCUUCCAAAAUGGGACAAAAGAUAUGGUAAAGGAAUUAUGAGUUUUCUGGAAUAUGCACUGGCUAAUGUUAACGGGAAUACAAUUUUCUAUUGCCCGUGCACGAAAUGUCAGUGUUGCAACGAUAUGCAUCGAUUUGCGAUUGACAAAGUAUGGCAGCACCUGAAGAGUAACGGGUUUUAGAAGAAGUACACAUGUUGGUUAUAUCACGGUGAAACAUCAUCUGGGGGUCCGCAUGAUCAUGGCCAAUUUUCUGAGACGGGCAGUACAUCCAACGAUCCAACAACGGUCUUCAUCAACGACAUGUUUCCUUAUGAGAGGUGUAUGCGCUCAAGGACAGUAUAUGCCUGACCCGGUGCAGCCCUUCCCUAAAGCUGUCAACACUGCUGGUAUUGACAAGUACAACAAACUGCUUGCUUUCCAACAGACCCCUGUGUACCCCGGUUGUCAUAAGACCGUUCUUGAAAGUGUGAUGGACGUAAUGAAGAUUAAAGUUGAGACAAAAUCGACUGUGAAAGCUGUUAAUGAUUAUCUACAGUACACUGCUUCGAUGCUGCCCCACGGUCAUCGUCUUCCUACCACUCAUCAUAAGGUCCGAUGUAUCCUGAAAGAUCUUGGGCUUUCCUACAUCAAGAUCCAUGCAUGCAGAUAUGACUGCGUUCUCUUCUGGGGUAAAGAUCUAGAAGGGAAUGACCUUGGUGGCCUUAACGCAUGUCCGGUAUGUCACACUGACAGGUAUAAGCUGACUCCUGCAGGUAACAGGAAAUCUGUGAAGGUACUUCAGUAUUUCCCUUUGAGGGAUAGGUUGGAGCGGUUGUACAUGUCUUCACACACGGCCGAAGCUAUGAGAUGGCACGCUGAUAGGGAAUUGCAUGACGAAGAUACCCUUAUACACCCUGCUGACGGGGAGGCUUGGAAGCAUAUAGACAGAGAGUUUCCUCAUUUUGCGUCAGAGGUCCGAAAUGUGAGGCUCGGGCUCUCAUCCGACGGGUUCAACCCUUUUGGCAACAUGAGUCUUCAAUACAGUGUAUGGCCGGUGAUUUUGGUACCGUACAACCUUCCUCCAUGGAUAUGCAUGAAGAAUGAAUACAAUAUGUUGAGUUUGUUGAUUCCAGGGCCCGGUUAUCCAGGGAAGUGUCUCGAUGUGUAUUUGAGACCUUUGAUUGAAGAGCUUAAAUUUUUGUGGGACGUUGGUCAUCCCACUUAUGACAAGUACAUGCACGAGAUGUUCCAGAUGCAUGUCAUGGUUGUUGGUACCAUCAGUGAUUUUCCUGCCCGUGGGAUGUUGUCGGGCAACGUUGUUAGGGGAUACAAGGCUUGUCCAGAGUGCCUUAGCGAUGAGGGGAGCAGCAGUCAUUGCAACAAGAUAUGCAGAUUGGGUCACCGUGCUUUCCUUCCAUAUAAUCAUGAAUGGCGGUUCGAUGAAAAGGCAUUUGAUGGGACUGUAGAACACGGUGUGGCUCCCAGAAGAUGGACGGGGGAAGAAAUUUUAGCAGUGCUUAAUGAGUACGAUUUUAGGCAGCUCAGCAAUCAUCCCAACAUUGUGGCGGCAAUACCUGAAAGACCCGACAGGUACAAAUUCUGGACACAUAAGAGCAUAUCUAGGAACUCCCAUACUGGAGUAAGUUGUUGAUCAGGCACUACCUAGAUGUGAUGNNNNNNNNNNNNNNNNNNNNGAUAAUGUCAAGAGUUUAUCCGAUGUGCAAGGUGAAUGGCGUGCAAUUUAUAUGCGAACAGAGAGACAGCAGAAGGAGAACACAGAAUUCUGAGGUCAUGGCACAUGGUGGGCAGAAUGGAGUUGACUAUUACGGUGUUUUCCAUUCAGUGGUGGAACUCGUUUAUGGGCAAGGCAUGACAGUGCACCUCUUCAAGUGUAGAUUGUUUGAUACUAGGCCGCAGAGCAUGAAGACCGAUCAGAAGGAAAUAUUAUCAGUGAACACUGCUACAAGUUCUUACGAAGAUGACCCGUUCGUUUUUGCCACAUCGGUAAAACAAGUGUUUUAUCUUGAUGACCUUGCUAAGGGUGACGCGUGGAAAGUAGUCAACCUUGUGCACCCUCGAAACAUUUACCGGGCGGCUACACUUGGAGAGGCCGAAGACGAGAAAGAGGAUGUUGCGUAUCAAGAGCCCAACGCAAUAGGUAUUCCUAACUCCUCUACCGUUCGCCUUAAUAAUUUUAAAGGGGGUCGUUUUGGUGCGAAUUCGUGAUGAAGAGCCAAGGCUUAUUGAUGUUGAUCCAAAUCAAGAAACAGACAAAGACUCUGGCGAUGAGGAAAGACAUAUAUUACCAGAAAUUAAUUCUGACACCAAAGAAGACUCAUCGGAUGAUUCCGAUUACGAGCCUUAGUUUUAAUUUAGAGGACGUAAUCCAUUAAUUUGUAUAACUAAAGAUCUUUUCCUUUAUACUUUACAUAUGUUGAAUUCAUAUUUCAGUUAUUUUAUAUGAAUUUUGGUGAUAUAUGAUGAACAGGAAGUUAGUAUGGUUUACUAAUAUCGUAUGUUUUUUUUAUGUAUUUUUUUCCUUAAGCCGACGAAAUACACUAUAAUUCGUCGGCUAAGACCAUUUUAGCCGACGAAAUAUAGUAUAUUUGUCGGCUAAGAUGGUUUUAGCCGACGAAUAACCUAAUAUUUCGUCGGCUUUAGUUAUUUUUUAAUUUUUUAAUUACAUACUAUAGCCGACGAAUACGUUAGGGUAUUCGUCGGCUAAACCCUAAAAUUUUUCUAUUACAUACUAUAGCCCUAUCUUCGGUGGUUAUUUUCCGUAAAAUUUUUAGACGACUUCUUGCGUCUCAUUGGUUUGAAACUAUUUUCAGUUGGAGGUCCGGCCAAAAUACGUAAUUUAGACGGUCGAACGAUCUUUUCCGUGCGUUUAGGGGUUUGACUUACGAGAUUGAUCGUCCGGAUCGAGCCCUUAUUCUUGUCGGAUCAAGUUGAAUUUUUUCCCAUACAUGUAUUUUGUCAUGCGGGUCAGAUCUGACGGUCGGAUUUCUGUUUCUCAAGUUUGAUCAUCACAAUCACAACAUGUCUACUAAUGUUGUAUAAUUUGUUUACCAAGUGUUAUGUAAAUGUUCCGUUUCAAAAACAAACUAUACGUAAAACCUUCAAACGCCAAAAUGUCGUGAAAUAAGAUAUGACGAGAAUGUUGAAAUACAUCCACGGUUGAAAAAUCACACUAUUCCGGUAAAUAUUCGGGGCCGAUAGUUGCGGUCAAUGCAAUUUUUCAUUCUUUCCCCCUAUGAGUAGCCAUAUAUUCGGUGGUUAUUUUGCGUAAAAUUUUUAUACAACUUGUUGCGUGUCAUCGAUUUAAAACUAUUUUCAGUUGAAGGUCCGGCCAAAAUACGUAAUUUAGACGGUCAAACGACCUUUUCCGUGCGUUUAGGGGUUUGACUUACGAGAUUGACCAUCCGGAUCGAGCCCUUAUUCUUGUCGGAUCAAGUUGAAUUUUUGGCCAUACAUGUAUUUUGUCAUGGUGGUCAGAUCUAACGGUCGGAUUUCUGUUUCUCAAGUUUGAUCAUCACAAUCACAAUGUGCCAAAUGUAUAAAAAUACUUUAGCCGACGAAUUUCAAAGGUUAGCCGACGAAUUUCAAAGGUUUAGCCGACAAAUUUCAAAGUUUUAGCCGACGAAUUUAGAAGGUUUAGCCGACGAAUUGAUUCUUAACCGAUGAGAUUCUUAGCUUUAGCCGACGAAAUACCCUAGCCUCCUCUUCCGCCUCCUCCGCCUCCUCCCUCCUCCCUCCCUCCCUCUCCCAGUCUCAGCCUCCUCCCUCCUCCCUCUCCANNNN